Aethalodelphis obliquidens (Pacific white-sided dolphin) is the source of this 1290-nucleotide long non-coding RNA. RefSeq lists it as uncharacterized. Lineage: Eukaryota; Metazoa; Chordata; Mammalia; Artiodactyla; Delphinidae. The transcript is spliced from 3 exons. The record is from RefSeq and is a predicted model, not a curated record.
UGACAUUCAUUUCCAUUCAUUCCACAUGUUUAUUAAGAACUGCUAUGUGUCAGCACUUUUCUAGGUCUUGGGAGUACAGCAGUGAAGAAAACAGACAAAAAUGGAACUUGAAUUCCAGCGUGGGUGGAGGGAGACAGACAGUAGAGAAGAUACAUGAUUGAAACGCAUGGUGUAUUAGACGGUGAUAAGUACUAUGGAGACAAAGUGGGAACGAAGAUGGGCAAACUAUGGCCGGAGAAUCUAAGAAACUUGCUGUGGAUUAGAUAAGAGGUGGAACCAGGCUUCUAACCCAAGCUGCCUAACUCCAGAGCUUGUGCUUUUAAAUACUAAGCUGUGUUGAAGAGAUCAGACCCAGGUACUGAAGACUUACACCUCCAGCUAUAAGCAGCCUUCCAAGCCCUGGAGGAAAACCCUGGGUGUGGUGGGAGGGGAGGGAGUGACUCAGACCUUGGCUGGCUUCCCGCUGAGUCACUGCCGAGGGGCCAUGAAAGGAGUCGAGUGGCACUCAGGCUUCACCUCCUCACACUGGUAAAUUCCUGUCUUCUGGGGGAGAUGCCUGGCGGCAGACCCGAACCACACAUCGUUGGUGGACAAGUUCGUCUGACUUUCCUAACAGCUCUGUUGUGGAACCGUGGGUGGGCUCCAUUUCCUGGUGUGGCCCUACAGCCAGCAAGAGGGAACACUCCCGGAAGUUGACUUUCUGCCCAACCUAGCUCUGUAUCCUCCAACGUGUCCUGGAUGGACACAUUCUGUCCCUCGUCAGGCUGGCUGUGUUGCAUCUCAGGUGAACUCUUCAAGAACAGCUGUGUGCUUGCCAUGCCACUACAGAGAGCAAGAUGCAAAGGGCAGCCACACACGUUGCCCUGGGGCUCAUUCUCUUGACAUAGUCAUUCAGGAAGACAGCAAGGAAGAAAUGCUGCCAAAUCAGCGUGGAAUCUUUUUGAAGACAUUGUUAGUGGCGAUUAAACCAACACCUGUGGUGCUAACAAUGCAAAACACUCAAGGGAAAGGAUGACGAGACGGAGAACUGUGACCAAGUUGGUGCACGUGCAGUCAGCUGCAGCUAUAUCACGACUAUCUCCUGGCUGCCUGCAAUUUGAGAUACUGUUGAUUACAACAUACAGCCUUAUUUCAGAGAUGUAAAAAUAUGAAAAAAACGUGUCAUAAGUUUGAUGGAAUACAAUAUUAAAAUUUAAAUGUCCUCGCUAACAGUCAUGUGGUUCCUUAUUUGGUUUUCCGAAAGCCACCGUGGUUCAGAUCAAACCUAUAUAGGUUUUCCUUCUUUUUUUU